This 70-nucleotide transfer RNA is filed under the name Gongylonema pulchrum. It matches the Rfam family "tRNA". From Rfam's summary of the family: Transfer RNA (tRNA) molecules are approximately 80 nucleotides in length. Lineage: Eukaryota; Metazoa; Nematoda; Chromadorea; Rhabditida; Gongylonematidae. The record is from Rfam by way of RNAcentral.
GGACCGGUGGUGUAGUGGUAACACGCUGCGUUCGAAUGUGAAGGGGGUGGUUCGAUUCCUUUCUGGAUCA